Long non-coding RNA from Oreochromis aureus, 697 nucleotides. The record is from Ensembl. Lineage: Eukaryota; Metazoa; Chordata; Actinopteri; Cichliformes; Cichlidae.
GUGAAAAGUAUAAGAUUGGUCAAGAAUAAGGAGCCACUGGCUUGAUUCAUGUUGGGGAUGAACUGAAGAAGGUCAAUGGAAUCCCUGCGGAUGACAAUAACUGGAGGAAAUCAUUCAUAUUCUGACACCAGUCGGGCCAAGAAGAACCAGGAGACCGAUGGUGGGGAUUACCACUUCAUGUCCAAGCAGCUCUUUGAGACGGACAGCCACACCAACAAGAGGAAGACUUUCAGGAGAUGGUGAACACGGCCCAGACAAUGGAGACUCAGUACAGCCAUCUCUUUGAGAUGGUUAUAGUCAACGACGACCUUGAUGUUGCCUUCAGCGAGCUGCAGUUGGCACUAAAGAAAGUGGAGACAGAGACACACUGGAUUCCAGUCAGCUGGACUCACUCCUGAGAGACAUACUGACUGUAAAAGGAGAAAAGGGAAGCGCUUUGACAAAAAUAUGCAGGUUUUCUAUCUUUUAAAAAAAAUAUUUGCCACGGACGGUGUUGGGAAGUAAAUCAGGAAUAAAACAGUGCCUGGCUGCUGUGUCGCCAUACCUGAACUGCAUCGAGCUAAAAAUAAGCUUGUGCCUGGGAUCAGGUUGGAUUUAGACCUCAGCUGUGGUCUGGAAGCUCCAGGUCUGACCAGAUGUGAUCGGGUUGUGGCUGCAGGCUUCUUUCCAGAAUCUAAGACUUGGAAAUUGAUCAGGG